ACCCCACCCCUCCCUGAGAAUGUAUAAACAGUUAAUGGUUGCUACAGCAAAGAGGAAGGUUUCUUCAAGGUGUAGCCACUGUGUUUUGAAAGUGAAUCUUCAAGCAAGAACACUGCAACUGUAAACAAGGGCCACAGGGCAAGUCCCAGAAAGCCAAGUCUUAAAGAAACGUGGAGCUCAGCAGCCCGUACGCAGAUCCUUCUUCAGUUCUGGGAAAUCCCUGUGCAUCUAUAAAGUGGUGCUGCACUAUUGCUAAUGAUUAUUUCACCAACCUCUUAGAACAGAAAAACUCACAGAAACAGAACAGCUUCCUUUCUUAUAAAUUGGAAAAAAUUAAAAUGUUGAUGAUGAUCUAAAAGGUGAAAUCAAGAAGAUCAAAGAGAAGGGAAGAAAAAAGAUGGUUUAGGAGUAAAGGAAGAAAAAGCUGAGGAAAAGGGAUGGAAGUAUAUUUACAUGAUGAAAACUAAGCACCUUCAAAAACAUAAUAUCAGUUUUGAUCAACCAAAUACAAAAUAAUGAUUUUCCCAAUUUGA
Peromyscus maniculatus bairdii (prairie deer mouse) is the source of this 533-nucleotide long non-coding RNA. RefSeq lists it as uncharacterized. NCBI's taxonomy places the organism in Eukaryota, Metazoa, Chordata, Mammalia, Rodentia, Cricetidae. The record is from RefSeq and is a predicted model, not a curated record.